AGGGAAAUUUAUAAUCUAUAAUUUGAAACCAAAAUAAGAAUGAGACAAGCUUAUUUGAAGGACUGGAAGGAAAAGGAUGUGAUAUAUGGCCUGAUACAGCCAAGCAAAAUGAACACUGCCAUUGCACUAUUACUUUGCAGACAAUCCAAAAAAACCAAAAGGGCCUAUUAAGGCUGUCUCUGUGGCGAUCUAAUUAGGUCAUACAAACAAUCUCUGUUGUUAAUAGGACCCUUUAACUGUACGUGGACACCUUAAGAAGUCUGUAGCAGAUAUAGGAAAGAUUCUGAUCCAUGAUGGGAAUAAGAAGUGAAUAAGAGCAAAGAAAUAACAGAUGAGAAAUUGGCACAGGAAUUAAAAAAGGUCUAUAAAUAGAAUUAUUGAAGUAGGAGAGGAAUGUGAGAGCCUUAUUCUUCCCUAGAGGUUAUGUUGGCCUAUUCUGUGAGACACAAUCUGCUUUGUUUGCUUGAAGUUAAGGGAAUGGAGAAGAGGAAUUGGUAGGAAACAAUGCAUUUUGAGGGCAAAGAAAAAGCUUCCAAGGGAAAGUGUGGGAAAGGUCAUGUUGAAAGAAUGUGUGUGCCUAGAGGGACUGAUAGCAGUGACUACCUGUAUCAUCCUAGUGAAGAAGAGCUAGAGGACAGCUGGGUGUAAAUUAAAAUAGAAUCACAACAAGUGCAGUGGGACCACUUCUGGCUUCAGGACAUCAUGCCAGACAGGUGUCAAAUGUGUGUGGCUCCUCACUCAGUGCAGACUGGACUUGAGACAACAACACCAAGUGAUCCACUCACCCUGAAGGAUGCUUGAGGACAGAAUGUCACCUGAAUGAGCUACUCCCUACACUAACCAGAAGGUGACUGGACAAUUUACAUCUGUGCACUUAUUGAAAGGAAGGCUGAAGAAUCAUUUUUGUUGCAGGAGUAGCUUAUGGGAACAACUUCAAUGUCCUACAGCUGGAUCAGCCCUUCCCUUCUGUCCCCAGACUUCGGCCCAGUAAGAUCACAAGAGGAGGUACAGCCUGGAGAGCCCCAGCAAGAGAUGAGACAAUUCUAGCCCUGAGGCACAGAUGUGCCAAGCAGGAGAAUCCUGCACUGCCCAGCAAUACGGUAAGAAAGGGGAUUAUCAGUGCAGGUACUUGACCAUCUCAGUGGUGAGACAAUCAUUCAAUGCUAAGAGAAAUUACAUUGGUUGCUUACAAGUUUAACCUCUUUUGUCACCAGCAUUGAGACCUAUGAAGCUGGCUCCUUUCUAGGGCAUCUUUACACAGACACAGAUUUACAGUGGAGAGGAUCCAAUGUAAAAACAAACAAAUAAACAAAACAAGCAGAGCAAGCAAGAUUUUCAGGGAUGUAAUUGUCCUGAGUGAGGGGCAGUAAUCACUCUGUGAUAUUUCAGUAAUUCAAAUUCUCCAGCCUUGAGAAGUUUUAGGAGGAAAAUUCCAACAAGUAUAAAAAUCCACUAUGAUCUUAAGUAGAUGAAGACAAAAGGGCUAAAACCCACACCACUACUCCUGUCCCUCUCUGUUGAUUCUGAUAAAAAUUUUAACCAGAAACUAACACUCCACACUCUCUACAAAGAAGAAGGAAAGUUUUGAGAGCUGGAAGCUGGCUUAUUUGAGCUGGACAGGUUUCAUCUGGCUGUCAUUGAGGAAAACUUUGAGUGCAUGUUCUUUUGUUUUAAACACAAACCUGUUUCUAACAGAAGAAUUUGUGCUUUUACCGUGUAUCACAGGUACUUAGGCAGGCAGUGUGCACUGUAUAAACCUAAAUCAUUAAACAGCCCUUGGCCACUGCUUAAAGUGAGACAAGUAUCUGCCUGAGCUGUAUACUUAAUUGCUUAAGAGAGGAAAAAAAGGGGGACUGAGUUACUAGAAAUCUCAGAGCAGUAAUAAUGGAAAUGUAGCCCCUAGAAAGAGAACUACUGAAUGGUGCAUCCAGAAAUACUUAGGAGGAAUCUGAAAAUAGCAAAUGAGGUGCUUUGAAGGGGUCACCAGUGGGUGUGAAGGACAAACACAGUGUUAGAGACUGAUGGGGAAAAUCCUCUAACCUUGCGGAGUUGCCUGAGACCAGAGGCAGGGAGAGGAUAAAUCCAGAGCAGGUGUGAGAUGGUCCAGCUUUCAGGUAUGUUGGAACACACUUGCCUGUAAGCCUGCUGCCCAUGUUCCCAGCCCUUGAUGAUUGCAUCUGCCUCUCCUUGUCAUUAACACACCUUUUUUUGUGGGAAUUGUGAAGAAACAUUUAGUUGUGAUUGAAGGAACACUCCACCAGGGAGUGUGAGACGGCUGAUUUUGUUGAAUUAGAGAUUUCCAUGAGAUUCUAAGGACUAGCACAGAAGUGAAUAUACAGGGAGGAUCCACGUGGACCACAGAACAUCUGAUUCCUUCUGGAAGAUGGACUUUCUGCUCAUGAUGUAGUUCAGCCAAAGGCGGAGAACAUUUGUCUGUAUGGACAAACGCUGGCGCUGGAAUUGGAUCAUAGGGAUCAAUAAGUACCUGCACGCACUAGGAAAGUUGUUAUGCCCAGUUCAGCCCAAAGGCUCACAAAUUAUACAAAGCCUUUGUUCCGUUUAUGACCUUUGAAAGGUGAUCUGUGUGAUGGAGGACUCUCUUUGGGAAUCCUUUGGUGUCCCUGCUCCCACUGGAUUCACACAGUCAGCACCCUGGAAAGAGGAAGCAUGUGAAGAAUCACAAGUGGAUUUCAGUAGGGUACUCCAUGCAGCCAAGGGCUUCUGUCAAGGAAUGAGUGGAGCUCUGAGCAACCUGGUCUAGUGGAAGGUUCCCUGCCCAUGGCAGGGGGAUGGAACUGGAGGAUCUUUAAGGUUCCUUCCAACCCAGGCCAUUCUGUGAUAAAGGAUUACUGAUUUUUGUGAAGGAUUGACAGCACUGCCAGAAGGCAAUUCCACACUUCCUGGUGCCUAGAGAAGGAGUCCUUCCCCUUUCUCCCCAGCCUGGUUUAGGGAGAAGCUGGAGUUUCAUUUGCCAUCAAAACAUGACCCCUGCUGGAGGACCAAGGAUGUGACUUUCAGUUCUUCAUGUGGAUAGCCCCACACAGAGAAUGGCACAGAUGUGAUUAAUGUGAUAUGAUACAGCUGUCACUGGCUACAGGAAAUCACAGACAACUAAAAAAAGGUUGGCUUAAAAAGACUUCUUAUUCACCCAACUGCAAAGGUUUUCCUUACAGGCUCAUGGAACGGAAUAUUUGAUUGGUAGGUUUUGUCUAUGAAGCCAGAGAAUUAGACACAAAGUAAUCUUCAUGUCACAAAUACUGCUCUGCAGUAAUUGCAGGUACUUGCAGCUCUCACAGGAAAAGACCAAAAUGUAACUGUUCUGUACAAACUUGGAUAGGGUAAUUGAACUGUGUCAUUUAGCACCAUAAUUUACAGUAGUACAGUGAAGUAAAAUAUACAAGCUUGAAAGUUUUUUUUAAAAAAGGGUAAAAUCUUUGGGCCUAUUUUUGUACCUAUCUGAAUUCAGAACUAAGAUGCACCAAAAUUCAAGUGGACAUUAACAUGUACUGAAGAAAUGCCAAAUGGCCAUUAAAGAGGCAUGGAAAGGAGUGGCAGUUCCUCCAUCCAGUCACUGGAGAUGUCAUGGGAUGCUCAUGUGGGCUCCAGCUAUCAUGGAAAAUGAGCUCUUUUAGGAUACUUUUUUGAGGGAGUGAUCCAUAGAGAUCAGCUGUGAGAUCCUUGGAGUCUGUAGAAACUCCCCCAUCCCCUUUUGCCAGCCAGCACUGCUGCACCAGGGGCUGUCCCUGCAGCUGGGGUGGCACAGCUGGCUCCAACUCCCCCCCAUCCUGGGAUGUCACAGCUGUUCUGUUCAUUAAAUGUCAUUUUUGGCACUUCUGUGUUUGGGAAUGACUCUGCCAAUCCCAGAGUCUCGCUCUGAAGAGACCUCCUGGGGUCCAACCCAGCCCUGCACACAGCAGUUACACUUGGCACAGAACUCACAAUUGGAAUCUCAGAGUAUCCUGGGCUGGGAGGGACCCACAAGGAUCACGGGGUGCAGCUCCUGUGGGCUGGGGAUCUGCAGCUGCUCU
Passer domesticus (house sparrow) is the source of this 4028-nucleotide long non-coding RNA. RefSeq lists it as uncharacterized. The transcript has 7 exons. The record is from RefSeq and is a predicted model, not a curated record. NCBI's taxonomy places the organism in Eukaryota, Metazoa, Chordata, Aves, Passeriformes, Passeridae.